Long non-coding RNA from Gopherus evgoodei (Goodes thornscrub tortoise), 96 nucleotides. RefSeq lists it as uncharacterized. The record is from RefSeq and is a predicted model, not a curated record. The transcript has 3 exons. Lineage: Eukaryota; Metazoa; Chordata; Testudines; Testudinidae.
ACAUAAGCAAUUUAAUAACUGCUGUGACUGUAUACCAACAUAAGUUAGGUCGACAUAAUUUUUAGUGUAGACAUAGCCGGGCACUAGCAAGGGAUU